This 492-nucleotide ribosomal RNA is filed under the name uncultured bacterium. Its description in RNAcentral is "partial 16S ribosomal RNA". It matches the Rfam family "Bacterial small subunit ribosomal RNA", at positions 29 to 507 of the family's 1533-position model. The record is from RNAcentral.
AGUGAACGCUGGCGGUAGGCCUAACACAUGCAAGUCGAACGGCAGCACAGUAAGCGCUUGCUCUUACGGGUGGCGAGUGGCGGACGGGUGAGGAAUACAUCGGAAUCUACUUUUUCGUGGGGGAUAACGUAGGGAAACUUACGCUACUACCGCAUACGACCUACGGGUGAAAGCAGGAGAUCUUCGGACUUUGCGCGAUUGUAUUAGCCGAUGUCGGAUUAGCUAGUUGGCGGGGUAAAGGCCCACCAAGGCGACGAUCCGUAGCUGGUCUGAGAGGAUGAUCAGCCACACUGGAACUGAGACACGGUCCAGACUCCUACGGGAGGCAGCAGUGGGGAAUAUUGGACAAUGGGCGCAAGCCUGAUCCAGCCAUACCGCGUGGGUGAAGAAGGCCUUCGGGUUGUAAAGCCCUUUUGUUGGGAAAGAAAAGCAGCAGGUUAAUACCCCGCUGUUCUGACGGUACCCAAAGAAUAAGCACCGGCUAACUUCGUG